GUGCUUGCUUUGGCAGUACAUAUACUAAAAUUGGAACGAUACAGAGAAGAUUGCAUGGCCCCUGCACAAGAAUGACAUGCAAAAACAAUAAAGUUAUAAAAUAUAA
Suncus etruscus (white-toothed pygmy shrew) is the source of this 106-nucleotide small nuclear RNA. NCBI's taxonomy places the organism in Eukaryota, Metazoa, Chordata, Mammalia, Eulipotyphla, Soricidae. The record is from RefSeq and is a predicted model, not a curated record.